Molecule: ribosomal RNA, 811 nt
Filed under: uncultured bacterium
Lineage: Bacteria
Description: bacterial SSU rRNA
Rfam family: Bacterial small subunit ribosomal RNA
Source: RNAcentral
UGACUNGAGUGCAGAAGGGGAGAGUGGAAUUCCAUGUGUAGCGGUGAAAUGCGUAGAUAUAUGGAGGAACACCAGUGGCGAAAGCGGCUCUCUGGUCUGUCACUGACGCUGAGGCUCGAAAGCGUGGGUAGCGAACAGGAUUAGAUACCCUGGUAGUNCACGCCGUAAACGAUGAGUGCUAGGUGUUAGGCCCUUUCCGGGGCUUAGUGCCGGAGCUAACGCAAUAAGCACUCCGCCUGGGGAGUACGACCGCAAGGUUGAAACUCAAAGGAAUUGACGGGGGCCCGCACAAGCGGUGGAGCAUGUGGUUUAAUUCGAAGCAACGCGAAGAACCUUACCAGGUCUUGACAUCCCGAUGCUAUUCUUAGAGAUAGGAAGUUACUUCGGUACAUCGGAGACAGGUGGUGCAUGGUUGUCGUCAGCUCGUGUCGUGAGAUGUUGGGUUAAGUCCCGCAACGAGCGCAACCCUUAUUGUUAGUUGCCAUCAUUAAGUUGGGCACUCUAGCGAGACUGCCGGUAAUAAACCGGAGGAAGGUGGGGAUGACGUCAAAUCAUCAUGCCCCUUAUGACCUGGGCUACACACGUGCUACAAUGGUCGGUACAACGAGUUGCGAGCCGGUGACGGCAAGCUAAUCUCUGAAAGCCGAUCUCAGUUCGGACUGGAGGCUGCAACUCGCCUCCAUGAAGUCGGAAUCGCUAGUAAUCGCGGAUCAGCACGCCGCGGUGAAUACGUUCCCGGGCCUUGUACACACCGCCCGUCACACCACGAGAGUUUGUAACACCCGAAGUCGGUGAGGUAACCUUUUAGGGG